AUUCCUGCAGCCUUUAAAUGAACAAAACAAACAGCACAAGCUACACUGCGAAGAUGAGUCUGCACUGCAUGUAUUUCUUUCUACACCCAGGAACCUGGCUUACCAGUAUAUCACCCCAGCGUUGACAUACUGGUUUGAGUUUCCUGCCUGAUGAUCAGAGCCAGAAGCACAGGUCUCCAGGAAAUGCCACCACUGGAUAGAGAGCCACACGCUGCUUCCUAUCAUACGUCUACCUGGACCUAACUCAGGAAGAAACAUACACUUCCUACAUUUUAUCCCAUAAGCAAAGCAACUUCUGUAGAACUGCCCAUGGAGAUUUUGUCUUAACUUCAAAAAGUGCUUCUCCUAAUUUAUUUUCUGUUGCACGGUAUCAAGAAGCACCUGUGGAAAAAAAGGAUUCAAAAGAAGAAAACCAUAACCAUCUUACAAGUUUUUGCAUUGCUGAAGACUGACGACUUCACCCAGACCCACCAACUGGUCCUGGGACCCCCACCCAGGAACCCAUUCAGUGCAGGAGGACAGCUUCAGCUCCCUGUGUCUUCACGUGUGACCCAAUUGAUCAGCACUUCCCUCUUCCUGGCCCCCUACUGACCAAACUAUCCUUUAAAAACCCUAGUCACUGAGUUUCCAGGGAGACUAAUUUGACUAAUAAUAAAACUGGUCUCCCAUUCA
Molecule: long non-coding RNA, 672 nt
Filed under: Homo sapiens (human)
Lineage: Eukaryota; Metazoa; Chordata; Mammalia; Primates; Hominidae
Description: HSALNT0372223
Source: RNAcentral